UACAGAGGGUGCGAGCGGUGUUCGGAAUCAUUGGGCGUAAAGCGCUUGUAGGCGGCCUGUCAAGUCGCGUGUGAAAUCCCUUGGCUUAACCAAGGAAGUGCGCGCGAAACUGGCGGGCUUGAGUGCCGGAGAGGGUCGCGGAAUUCCCGGUGUAGAGGUGAAAUUCGUAGAUAUCGGGAGGAACACCAGUGGCGAAGGCGGCGACCUGGACGGACACUGACGCUGAGACGCGAAAGCGUGGGGAGCAAGCAGG
RNAcentral lists this ribosomal RNA (253 nucleotides) under uncultured bacterium. RNAcentral's name for it is "partial 16S ribosomal RNA". It matches the Rfam family "Bacterial small subunit ribosomal RNA", at positions 524 to 776 of the family's 1533-position model. The record is from RNAcentral.